This 378-nucleotide unclassified non-coding RNA is filed under the name uncultured bacterium. RNAcentral describes it as "contains 16S-23S intergenic spacer region". The record is from RNAcentral.
UCCGGUUUGUCACCGGCAGUCUCCUCAGAGUCCCCGACUUUACUCGCUGGUAACAUAGAACGAGGGUUGCGCUCGUUGCGGGAUUUAACCCAACAUUUCACAACACGAGCUGACGACAGCCAUGCACCACCUGUGAAUCACCCUCGAAGGCGACUACUUUUCGGUAGCUUGCAGAUCCAUGUCAAGCCCUGGUAAGGUUCUUCGCGUUGCAUCGAAUUAAGCCACAUGCUCCACCGCUUGUGCGGGCCCCCGCCAAUUCCUUUGAGUUUUAGCCUUGCGGCCGUACUCCCCAGGCGGGGCACUUAAUGCGUUAGCUACGGCGCGGAAAACGUGGAAUGUCCCCCACACCUAGUGCCCAACGUUUACGGCAUGGACUAC